AGAGGCUUAGGAUCAACUAGACCGGGGGCCUUCAAAGCCCUAAGCGAGGGUGAAAACCCCCCAGCCCCUG
This 70-nucleotide transfer RNA is filed under the name Acentrogobius caninus (tropical sand goby). Its description in RNAcentral is "tRNA-Trp". It matches the Rfam family "tRNA". From Rfam's summary of the family: Transfer RNA (tRNA) molecules are approximately 80 nucleotides in length. Lineage: Eukaryota; Metazoa; Chordata; Actinopteri; Gobiiformes; Gobiidae. The record is from RNAcentral.